Molecule: ribosomal RNA, 3031 nt
Filed under: Salmonella enterica subsp. enterica serovar Johannesburg
Lineage: Bacteria; Pseudomonadati; Pseudomonadota; Gammaproteobacteria; Enterobacterales; Enterobacteriaceae
Also listed under: 1 other name
Description: 23S ribosomal RNA
Rfam family: Bacterial large subunit ribosomal RNA
Source: RNAcentral
GGGUUGUGAGGUUAAGCGACUAAGCGUACACGGUGGAUGCCCUGGCAGUCAGAGGCGAUGAAGGACGUGCUAAUCUGCGAUAAGCGCCGGUAAGGUGAUAUGAACCGUUAUAACCGGCGAUUUCCGAAUGGGGAAACCCAGUGUGACUCGUCACACUAUCAUUAACUGAAUCCAUAGGUUAAUGAGGCGAACCGGGGGAACUGAAACAUCUAAGUACCCCGAGGAAAAGAAAUCAACCGAGAUUCCCCCAGUAGCGGCGAGCGAACGGGGAGGAGCCCAGAGCCUGAAUCAGCAUGUGUGUUAGUGGAAGCGUCUGGAAAGGCGCGCGAUACAGGGUGACAGCCCCGUACACAAAAGCGCAUAUGCUGUGAGCUCGAUGAGUAGGGCGGGACACGUGGUAUCCUGUCUGAAUAUGGGGGGACCAUCCUCCAAGGCUAAAUACUCCUGACUGACCGAUAGUGAACCAGUACCGUGAGGGAAAGGCGAAAAGAACCCCGGCGAGGGGAGUGAAAAAGAACCUGAAACCGUGUACGUACAAGCAGUGGGAGCCCCACCACUAAGCCAGUGGUGAAGUCCACAUACGCAUCCUUUGCUGAGGAUACGGUUAACGGAGCGAAAGCGACGUUCAACCGCAAAAAAAGAAGCAGAGGGGGCUUAGUGGUGGGGUGACUGCGUACCUUUUGUAUAAUGGGUCAGCGACUUAUAUUCUGUAGCAAGGUUAACCGAAUAGGGGAGCCGGAGGGAAACCGAGUCUUAAUUGGGCGUUAAGUUGCAGGGUAUAGACCCGAAACCCGGUGAUCUAGCCAUGGGCAGGUUGAAGGUUGGGUAACACUAACUGGAGGACCGAACCGACUAAUGUUGAAAAAUUAGCGGAUGACCUGUGGCUGGGGGUGAAAGGCCAAUCAAACCGGGAGAUAGCUGGUUCUCCCCGAAAGCUAUUUAGGUAGCGCCUCGUGAAUUCAUCUCCGGGGGUAGAGCACUGUUUCGGCUAGGGGGCCAUCCCGGCUUACCAACCCGAUGCAAACUGCGAAUACCGGAGAAUGUUAUCACGGGAGACACACGGCGGGUGCUAACGUCCGUCGUGAAGAGGGAAACAACCCAGACCGCCAGCUAAGGUCCCAAAGUCAUGGUUAAGUGGGAAACGAUGUGGGAAGGCCCAGACAGCCAGGAUGUUGGCUUAGAAGCAGCCAUCAUUUAAAGAAAGCGUAAUAGCUCACUGGUCGAGUCGGCCUGCGCGGAAGAUGUAACGGGGCUAAACCAUGCACCGAAGCUGCGGCAGCGACGCUGAUGCGUUGUUGGGUAGGGGAGCGUUCUGUAAGCCUGCGAAGGUGUGUCGUGAGGCAUGCUGGAGGUAUCAGAAGUGCGAAUGCUGACAUAAGUAACGAUAAAGCGGGUGAAAAGCCCGCUCGCCGGAAGACCAAGGGUUCCUGUCCAACGUUAAUCGGGGCAGGGUGAGUCGACCCCUAAGGCGAGGCCGAAAGGCGUAGUCGAUGGGAAACGGGUUAAUAUUCCCGUACUUGGUGUUACUGCGAAGGGGGGACGGAGAAGGCUAUGUUGGCCGGGCGACGGUUGUCCCGGUUUAAGCGUGUAGGUGUGUGUUCCAGGUAAAUCCGGUUCACUUUAACACUGAGGCGUGAUGACGAGGCACUACGGUGCUGAAGCAACAAAUGCCCUGCUUCCAGGAAAAGCCUCUAAGCAUCAGGUAACAUCAAAUCGUACCCCAAACCGACACAGGUGGUCAGGUAGAGAAUACCAAGGCGCUUGAGAGAACUCGGGUGAAGGAACUAGGCAAAAUGGUGCCGUAACUUCGGGAGAAGGCACGCUGACACGUAGGUGAAGUGAUUUACUCAUGGAGCUGAAGUCAGUCGAAGAUACCAGCUGGCUGCAACUGUUUAUUAAAAACACAGCACUGUGCAAACACGAAAGUGGACGUAUACGGUGUGACGCCUGCCCGGUGCCGGAAGGUUAAUUGAUGGGGUCAGCGCAAGCGAAGCUCCUGAUCGAAGCCCCGGUAAACGGCGGCCGUAACUAUAACGGUCCUAAGGUAGCGAAAUUCCUUGUCGGGUAAGUUCCGACCUGCACGAAUGGCGUAAUGAUGGCCAGGCUGUCUCCACCCGAGACUCAGUGAAAUUGAACUCGCUGUGAAGAUGCAGUGUACCCGCGGCAAGACGGAAAGACCCCGUGAACCUUUACUAUAGCUUGACACUGAACAUUGAGCCUUGAUGUGUAGGAUAGGUGGGAGGCUUUGAAGUGUGGACGCCAGUCUGCAUGGAGCCGGCCUUGAAAUACCACCCUUUAAUGUUUGAUGUUCUAACGUGGACCCGUGAUCCGGGUUGCGGACAGUGUCUGGUGGGUAGUUUGACUGGGGCGGUCUCCUCCUAAAGAGUAACGGAGGAGCACGAAGGUUGGCUAAUCCUGGUCGGACAUCAGGAGGUUAGUGCAAUGGCAUAAGCCAGCUUGACUGCGAGCGUGACGGCGCGAGCAGGUGCGAAAGCAGGUCAUAGUGAUCCGGUGGUUCUGAAUGGAAGGGCCAUCGCUCAACGGAUAAAAGGUACUCCGGGGAUAACAGGCUGAUACCGCCCAAGAGUUCAUAUCGACGGCGGUGUUUGGCACCUCGAUGUCGGCUCAUCACAUCCUGGGGCUGAAGUAGGUCCCAAGGGUAUGGCUGUUCGCCAUUUAAAGUGGUACGCGAGCUGGGUUUAGAACGUCGUGAGACAGUUCGGUCCCUAUCUGCCGUGGGCGCUGGAGAACUGAGGGGGGCUGCUCCUAGUACGAGAGGACCGGAGUGGACGCAUCACUGGUGUUCGGGUUGUCAUGCCAAUGGCACUGCCCGGUAGCUAAAUGCGGAAGAGAUAAGUGCUGAAAGCAUCUAAGCACGAAACUUGCCCCGAGAUGAGUUCUCCCUGAGACUUAGAGUCUCCUGAAGGAACGUUGAAGACGACGACGUUGAUAGGCCGGGUGUGUAAGCGCAGCGAUGCGUUGAGCUAACCGGUACUAAUGAACCGUGAGGCUUAACCUUACAACGCCGAAG